Molecule: ribosomal RNA, 490 nt
Filed under: uncultured bacterium
Lineage: Bacteria
Description: partial 16S ribosomal RNA
Rfam family: Bacterial small subunit ribosomal RNA
Source: RNAcentral
AUUGAACGCUGGCGGCAGGCCUUACACAUGCAAGUCGAACGGUAACAGGAAGAAGCUUGCUUCUUUGCUGCCAAGGGGCGGACGGGUGAGCAAUGCCUGGGCAACUGCCUGAUGGAAGGGGAUAACUACUGUAAACGGUAGCUAAUACCGCAUAACGUCGCAAGACCAAAGAGGGGGACCUUCGGGCCUCUGGCCAUCGGAUGUGCCCAGAUGGGAUUAGCUAGUAGGUGGGGUAACGGCUUACCUAGCCGACGAUCGGUAGCUGGUCUGAGAGGAUGACCAGCCACACUGGAACUGAGACACGGCCCAGACUCCUACGGGAGGCAGCAGUGGGGAAUAUUGCACAAUGGGCGAAAGCCUGAUGCAGCCAUGCCGCGUGUAUGAUGAAGGCCUUCGGGUUGUAAAGUACUUUCAGAGGGGAGGAAGGGAGUAAAGCUAAUACAGUGGCUCAAUGACGGUACCGGAAGAAGAAGCACCGGCUAACUCCGUG